This 249-nucleotide long non-coding RNA is filed under the name Vitis vinifera (wine grape). RNAcentral describes it as "long non-coding RNA (VVIN_LNC002942)". Lineage: Eukaryota; Viridiplantae; Streptophyta; Magnoliopsida; Vitales; Vitaceae. The record is from RNAcentral.
AAAUCAUUUUCUUGAUGCCUUGUUGGUACUGGAAAGGUUCUUCAAUCGUUCUGCAAAUUUUUGAAUCAUCAACUUCCUUAUCAGAAACCAAGCUUAAUCCUGGGACCUUAAGACCAAUAUUGGUAGAAAGAUAAAGAUGAAGAUCCUGGAGGUAUGAAGAGAUGAAGAUUUGUCUUUCUUCUGCUGAGGAUUUAGCCUUUUCCAAAAUUAGGAGACGUAGAUCUGGCUUAAGAGAGUAUAGAUUCUCUG